This 430-nucleotide ribosomal RNA is filed under the name bacterium. RNAcentral's name for it is "partial 16S ribosomal RNA". It matches the Rfam family "Bacterial small subunit ribosomal RNA", at positions 355 to 776 of the family's 1533-position model. The record is from RNAcentral.
UGGGGAAUAUUGGACAAUGGGCGGAAGCCUGAUCCAGCCAUGCCGCGUGUGUGAAGAAGGCCUUUUGGUUGUAAAGCACUUUAAGCGAGGAGGAGGCUACUUGGAUUAAUACUCUAGGAUAGAGGACGUUACUCGCAGAAUAAGCACCGGCUAACUCUGUGCCAGCAGCCGCGGUAAUACAGAGGGUGCGAGCGUUAAUCGGAUUUACUGGGCGUAAAGCGUGCGUAGGCGGCUUUUUAAGUCGGAUGUGAAAUCCCUGAGCUUAACUUAGGAAUUGCAUUCGAUACUGGGAAGCUAGAGUAUGGGAGAGGAUGGUAGAAUUCCAGGUGUAGCGGUGAAAUGCGUAGAGAUCUGGAGGAAUACCGAUGGCGAAGGCAGCCAUCUGGCCUAAUACUGACGCUGAGGUACGAAAGCAUGGGGAGCAAACAGG